AACGCUGGCGGCGUGCUUAAUACAUGCAAGUCGAACGAAGCACAGAUGGCAGAUCCCUUCGGGGUGACGCCGCCUGCGACUUAGUGGCGGACGGGUGAGUAACGCGUGGGCAAUCUGCCCUGCACAGGGGGACAACAGUUGGAAACGACUGCUAAUACCGCAUAAGCGCACAAGACCGCAUGGUCAGGUGUGAAAAGGAGCGAUCCGGUGCAGGAUGAGCCCGCGUCCGAUUAGCCAGUUGGCGGGGUAACGGCCCACCAAAGCUACGAUCGGUAGCCGACUUGAGAGAGUGAUCGGCCACAUUGGGACUGAGACACGGCCCAGACUCCUACGGGAGGCAGCAGUAGGGAAUAUUGCACAAUGGGGGAAACCCUGAUGCAGCGACGCCGCGUGGGUGAUGAAGCAUUUCGGUGCGUAAAGCCCUAUCAGCAGGGAAGAUGAUGACGGUACCUGCAUAAGAAGCCCCGGCUAACUACGUGCC
This 481-nucleotide ribosomal RNA is filed under the name uncultured organism. RNAcentral's name for it is "SSU rRNA". It matches the Rfam family "Bacterial small subunit ribosomal RNA", at positions 32 to 509 of the family's 1533-position model. The record is from RNAcentral.